GCAGAUGUGGUGUAAGUGGUUAGCAUCAGGAUUUGGUAUGUCCUGGAUGUGGGUUCAAAUCCCGCCGUCUGCU
Molecule: transfer RNA, 73 nt
Filed under: Cyanobacteria bacterium UBA11371
Lineage: Bacteria; Bacillati; Cyanobacteriota
Also listed under: 2 other names
Description: tRNA-Thr
Rfam family: tRNA
About the family: Transfer RNA (tRNA) molecules are approximately 80 nucleotides in length. Their secondary structure includes four short double-helical elements and three loops (D, anti-codon, and T loops).
Source: RNAcentral